RNAcentral lists this ribosomal RNA (507 nucleotides) under uncultured bacterium. Its description in RNAcentral is "bacterial SSU rRNA". It matches the Rfam family "Bacterial small subunit ribosomal RNA", at positions 791 to 1294 of the family's 1533-position model. The record is from RNAcentral.
UAGUCCACGCCGUAAACGAUGUCUACUAGCCGUUGGGGAUUUAUUUCUUUAGUGGCGCAGCUAACGCGAUAAGUAGACCGCCUGGGGAGUACGGCCGCAAGGUUAAAACUCAAAUGAAUUGACGGGGGCCCGCACAAGCGGUGGAGCAUGUGGUUUAAUUCGAAGCAACGCGAAGAACCUUACCUACUCUUGACAUCCAGAGAACUUGCCAGAGAUGGCUUGGUGCCUUCGGGAACUCUGAGACAGGUGCUGCAUGGCUGUCGUCAGCUCGUGUUGUGAAAUGUUGGGUUAAGUCCCGUAACGAGCGCAACCCCUAUCUUCAGUUGCCAGCACAUAAUGGUGGGGACUCUGGAGAGACUGCCUCCGUAAGGAGAGAGGGAAGGCGGGGACGACGGUCAAAUCAUCAUGGGCCUUUAUGCCUAGGGGCUACACACGUGCUACAAUGGCAGAUACAGAGGGUCGCGAAGCCGCGAGGUGGAGCUAAUCCCAGAAAGUCUGUCCCAGUUC